Molecule: ribosomal RNA, 450 nt
Filed under: uncultured bacterium
Lineage: Bacteria
Description: partial 16S ribosomal RNA
Rfam family: Bacterial small subunit ribosomal RNA
Source: RNAcentral
AUGAACGCUGGCGGCGUGCCUAACACAUGCACGUCGAGCGGCAGCGAGGGGUGCUUGCACCCUGUCGGCGAGCGGCGGACGGCUGAGUAACGCGUGGGAACGUGCCCCAAAGUGAGGAAUAACUGCCCGAAAGGGUAGCUAAUACCGCAUAUUAUCUUCGGAUCAAAGGAUUUAUCCGCUUUGGGAGCGGCUCGCGUCGGAUUAGGUAGUUGGUGAGGUAAUGGCUCACCAAGCCGACGAUCCGUAGCUGGUCUGAGAGGAUGACCAGCCAGACUGGAACUGAGACACGGUCCAGACUCCUACGGGAGGCAGCAGUGAGGAAUCUUCCACAAUGGGCGAAAGCCUGAUGGAGCAACGCCGCGUGCAGGACGAAGGCCUUCGGGUUGUAAACUGCUUUUAUAAGUGAGGAAUAUGACGGUAACUUAUGAAUAAGGAUCGGCUAACUACGUG